Molecule: ribosomal RNA, 653 nt
Filed under: Vibrio sp. G808
Lineage: Bacteria; Pseudomonadati; Pseudomonadota; Gammaproteobacteria; Vibrionales; Vibrionaceae
Description: bacterial SSU rRNA
Rfam family: Bacterial small subunit ribosomal RNA
Source: RNAcentral
UUGACGUUAGCAACAGAAGAAGCACCGGCUAACUCCGUGCCAGCAGCCGCGGUAAUACGGAGGGUGCGAGCGUUAAUCGGAAUUACUGGGCGUAAAGCGCAUGCAGGCGGUCUGUUAAGCAAGAUGUGAAAGCCCGGGGCUCAACCUCGGAACAGCAUUUUGAACUGGCAGACUAGAGUCUUGUAGAGGGGGGUAGAAUUUCAGGUGUAGCGGUGAAAUGCGUAGAGAUCUGAAGGAAUACCGGUGGCGAAGGCGGCCCCCUGGACAAAGACUGACGCUCAGAUGCGAAAGCGUGGGGAGCAAACAGGAUUAGAUACCCUGGUAGUCCACGCCGUAAACGAUGUCUACUUGGAGGUUGGGACCUUGAGUCCUGGCUUUCGGAGCUAACGCGUUAAGUAGACCGCCUGGGGAGUACGGUCGCAAGAUUAAAACUCAAAUGAAUUGACGGGGGCCCGCACAAGCGGUGGAGCAUGUGGUUUAAUUCGAUGCAACGCGAAGAACCUUACCUACUCUUGACAUCCAGAGAAUUCGCUAGAGAUAGCUUAGUGCCUUCGGGAACUCUGAGACAGGUGCUGCAUGGCUGUCGUCAGCUCGUGUUGUGAAAUGUUGGGUUAAGUCCCGCAACGAGCGCAACCCUUAUCCUUGUUUGCCAG